UCUGAGAUAAGCCUGGCAGACUGGGUCUAAUAGCGGAUAUGACCAACUAUCGCAUGGUGGUUGGUGGAAAGCUUUUGCGGUGUGGGAUGCGCCCGCGGCCUAUCAGCUUGUUGGUGGGGUAAUGGCCUACCAAGGCGACGACGGGUAGCCGACCUGAGAGGGUGAUCGGCCACACUGGGACUGAGACACGGCCCACAAUCAUACGGGAGGCAGCAGUGGGGAAUAUUGCACAAUGGGCGCAAGCCUGAUGCAGCGACGCCGCUUGAGGAAUGACGGCCUUCGGGUUGUAAACCUCUUUCACCAGGGACGAGGCGUAAGUGACGGUCCCUGGAGAAGAAGCACCGCCCAACUACGUGCCAGCCGCCGCGGUAUUGCGUAGGGUGCUAGCGUUGUCCGGAAUUACUGGGCGUAAGGAGCUCGUAGGCGGUUUGUCGCGUCGUCGGUGAAAUUCUGCAACUCAAUUGCAGGCGUGCAGGCGAUACGGGCAGACUUGAGUACUACGGGGGAGACUGUAAUUCCUGGUGUAGCGGUGAAAUGCGCAGAUAUGAGGAGGAACACCGGUGGCGAAGGCGGCUCUCUGGGUAGUAACUGACGCUGAGGAGCGAAGCUAGGGUGGUGAACAGGAUAGAUACACUGAUAGCCACGCCGUAACGUUGGGUCUAGGUGUGGCUUCUUUUCACGGGUCCGCGCGUCACUAACG
RNAcentral lists this ribosomal RNA (700 nucleotides) under Gordonia terrae. RNAcentral describes it as "bacterial SSU rRNA". It matches the Rfam family "Bacterial small subunit ribosomal RNA", at positions 137 to 857 of the family's 1533-position model. Lineage: Bacteria; Bacillati; Actinomycetota; Actinomycetes; Mycobacteriales; Gordoniaceae. The record is from RNAcentral.